UGCACAGGCUGCUUAAUUUGCCACCCAGAU
RNAcentral lists this non-coding RNA (30 nucleotides) under Homo sapiens (human). The record is from RNAcentral. Lineage: Eukaryota; Metazoa; Chordata; Mammalia; Primates; Hominidae.